This 496-nucleotide ribosomal RNA is filed under the name uncultured bacterium. RNAcentral describes it as "partial 16S ribosomal RNA". It matches the Rfam family "Bacterial small subunit ribosomal RNA", at positions 28 to 507 of the family's 1533-position model. The record is from RNAcentral.
GAUGAACGCUGGCGGCGUGCCUAUACCUGCAAGUCGCGCGAACGGACGAGAAGCUUGCUUCUCUGAUGUUAGCGGCGGACGGGUGAGUAACACGUGGAUAACCUACCUAUAAGACUGGGAUAACUUCGGGAAACCGGAGCUAAUACCGGAUAAUAUUUUGAACCGCAUGGUUCAAAAGUGAAAGACGGUCUUGCUGUCACUUAUAGAUGGAUCCGCGCUGCAUUAGCUAGUUGGUAAGGUAACGGCUUACCAAGGCAACGAUGCAUAGCCGACCUGAGAGGGUGAUCGGCCACACUGGAACUGAGACACGGUCCAGACUCCUACGGGAGGCAGCAGUAGGGAAUCUUCCGCAAUGGGCGAAAGCCUGACGGAGCAACGCCGCGUGAGUGAUGAAGGUCUUCGGAUCGUAAAACUCUGUUAUUAGGGAAGAACAUAUGUGUAAGUAACUGUGCACAUCUUGACGGUACCUAAUCAGAAAGCCACGGCUAACUACGUG